GUGCUCCCUUUGGCAGCACAUAGACUAAAAUUGGAUCGAUACAGAGAAGGUUUGCAUGGACCCUGUGCAAGGAUGACGCAUGGAUUUGUGAAGCGGUCCAGAUUUUU
Molecule: small nuclear RNA, 107 nt
Organism: Suricata suricatta (meerkat)
Lineage: Eukaryota; Metazoa; Chordata; Mammalia; Carnivora; Herpestidae
Source: Ensembl